CAGUCGUGCUGGGCGCAAAAUCAACCCUCUCGUCGUGAGAUCACAUGCUGUGGCGAGCCUCAAAACCGCCACAGCGUGUGACCUCCGAUGAGAGGGAGUACUUUCGUGUCCGCUGGUUAACAUCAAUUUCGAACGUCAAUAAAAAGGCUGGAGGGACGUGGCUCCUUCGGGAGUGUUAUAACCUUUAGCGGAAUGUGGUGUUCGGGAUUGAGGAUUGCAACGAAUACCGUUUAGGGCUGAUCCACCUGGCUUCUC
RNAcentral lists this ribosomal RNA (255 nucleotides) under uncultured Glomeromycotina. RNAcentral describes it as "partial large subunit ribosomal RNA". The record is from RNAcentral. Lineage: Eukaryota; Fungi; Glomeromycota.